UCAGAUUGAACGCUGGCGGCAUGCCUUACACAUGCAAGUCGAACGGCAGCGCGGGAGCAAUCCUGGCGGCGAGUGGCGAACGGGUGAGUAAUACAUCGGAACGUGCCCAAUCGUGGGGGAUAACGCAGCGAAAGCUGUGCUAAUACCGCAUACGAUCUACGGAUGAAAGCAGGGGAUCGCAAGACCUUGCGCGAAUGGAGCGGCCGAUGGCAGAUUAGGUAGUUGGUGGGGUAAAGGCUCACCAAGCCUUCGAUCUGUAGCUGGUCUGAGAGGACGACCAGCCACACUGGGACUGAGACACGGCCCAGACUCCUACGGGAGGCAGCAGUGGGGAAUUUUGGACAAUGGGCGAAAGCCUGAUCCAGCCAUGCCGCGUGCAGGAUGAAGGCCUUCGGGUUGUAAACUGCUUUUGUACGGAACGAAAAGUCUCUUUCUAAUAAAGAGGGAUCAUGACGGUACCGUAAGAAUAAGCACCGGCUAACUACGUGCCAGCAGCCGCGGUAAUACGUAGGGUGCAAGCGUUAAUCGGAAUUACUGGGCGUAAAGCGUGCGCAGGCGGUUAUGUAAGACAGUUGUGAAAUCCCCGGGCUCAACCUGGGAACUGCAUCUGUGACUGCAUAGCUAGAGUACGGUAGAGGGGGAUGGAAUUCCGCGUGUAGCAGUGAAAUGCGUAGAUAUGCGGAGGAACACCGAUGGCGAAGGCAAUCCCC
Molecule: ribosomal RNA, 710 nt
Filed under: Variovorax ginsengisoli
Lineage: Bacteria; Pseudomonadati; Pseudomonadota; Betaproteobacteria; Burkholderiales; Comamonadaceae
Description: bacterial SSU rRNA
Rfam family: Bacterial small subunit ribosomal RNA
Source: RNAcentral